This is a long non-coding RNA of Hippocampus comes (tiger tail seahorse), 336 nucleotides long. RefSeq lists it as uncharacterized. NCBI's taxonomy places the organism in Eukaryota, Metazoa, Chordata, Actinopteri, Syngnathiformes, Syngnathidae. The record is from RefSeq and is a predicted model, not a curated record. The transcript is spliced from 3 exons.
CAGCUCCUUCUGUUACAGCAACGUUUUCCGGUUUGCAACGAUCAUAAAUAGAGCCUCGUUUGAGCGGUAUCUUCUCUCUCCCGGGCGCUGGAGCCUUGGGUGCGCUGGGAACACACAAGCUUGAAUGCAAAGUGAGUUUACAAGUAUGUUACAAAUUAUCAGCUGAGAAUAACUUUGCGUGACUUGGCAGACGGCUUUACCUUGCUCACAUGUUGUUUGGGUCAAUAUAUUUCAGGGGUUUGCUCUUCCAAUUUGACUGUCUGUAUCUGACAAGGGCCCAGAUGUGAACCCAGCCUACAGAGGAAACCAGAGUACCCGGAGAAAACCCACUCAGGC